This 400-nucleotide unclassified non-coding RNA is filed under the name uncultured fungus. RNAcentral describes it as "sequence contains ITS1". The stretch from base 1 to 105 matches the Rfam family "5.8S ribosomal RNA", at positions 50 to 154 of the family's 154-position model. The record is from RNAcentral. Lineage: Eukaryota; Fungi.
UAACUGCGUUAAGUAGCGUGAAUUGCAGACGCAUUGAACGUUAAAGUUUUGAACGCAUAUUGCGCCGUAGGAUUCCUAACCUACGGCACAUCUGGUUGAGGGUCGUGACCCAUAAACACAGCUGACGAGCGGCUGUACUAUGUAUAAUUGGUUGUUCAUAAAUUUGGUGCCCGACUUGUGCCAGAUAUGUUCGACCAUAACGUAGAGAGUGCGCUUAGCUUUAAAGUGCAUUUGCCACAUGGGCGGUUGACCAUCUCAUGCUUAUGGGACAGCCGGUUGGGUAUUCUACUACGCUUAUGUAUAUGCCCAACUGUGAGUUGUACCGAGGUGAUGUCAGCACGAUUAUCGCUUAUGCCUGGUGUAUUCUCGCUUUCCCGACCUCAACUCAGGUGUGAAUACC